CUGGGUGCUUAAAUCUUGGUUUGUUGUCAGUCGUUGUUCUAAGCUCUGUCCUUUGACAUUGUCAAAGAAGAGGACACAUGAAACUAUAUUGGUAUUUUUCCUCCUCACUUGUCCUGUUUAAGAUCUGUUUGACAACUUACCUGGGAUCUACUGGGAUAGAGACUGUAGUAGGGGAUAGGGGCAGUAGUGUGUGUGUGAGGGGUGAAGUGUGUGUGUGUGUGAG
Pelobates cultripes (western spadefoot toad) is the source of this 223-nucleotide non-coding RNA. Lineage: Eukaryota; Metazoa; Chordata; Amphibia; Anura; Pelobatidae. The record is from the annotation of a GenBank genome assembly.